GAUGAACGCUGGCGGCGUGCCUAAUACAUGCAAGUCGAGCGAACAGACGAGGAGCUUGCUCCUCUUACGUUAGCGGCGGACGGGUGAGUAACACGUGGAUAACCUACCUAUAAGACUGGGAUAACUUCGGGAAACCGGAGCUAAUACCGGAUAAUAUAUUGAACCGCAUGGUUCAAUAGUGAAAGACGUUUUUUCUGUCACUUAUAGAUGGAUCCGCGCCGCAUUAGCUAGUUGGUAAGGUAACGGCUUACCAAGGCAACGAUGCGUAGCCGACCUGAGAGGGUGAUCGGCCACACUGGAACUGAGACACGGUCCAGACUCCUACGGGAGGCAGCAGUAGGGAAUCUUCCGCAAUGGGCGAAAGCCUGACGGAGCAACGCCGCGUGAGUGAUGAAGGUCUUCGGAUCGUAAAACUCUGUUAUUAGGGAAGAACAAAUGUGUAAGUAACUAUGCACGUCUUGACGGUACCUAAUCAGAAAGCCACGGCUAACUACGU
RNAcentral lists this ribosomal RNA (496 nucleotides) under uncultured bacterium. RNAcentral's name for it is "partial 16S ribosomal RNA". It matches the Rfam family "Bacterial small subunit ribosomal RNA", at positions 28 to 506 of the family's 1533-position model. The record is from RNAcentral.